GGGGAUAGAGCUCCGUUGGUAGAGCAUUCGCUUAGCAUGCGAAAGGUCUGGGGAUCAAAACCCCAUGUCUCCA
Selaginella moellendorffii is the source of this 73-nucleotide transfer RNA. It matches the Rfam family "tRNA". From Rfam's summary of the family: Transfer RNA (tRNA) molecules are approximately 80 nucleotides in length. Lineage: Eukaryota; Viridiplantae; Streptophyta; Lycopodiopsida; Selaginellales; Selaginellaceae. The record is from Rfam.